AGUGUUGGAGGGUUUCCGCCUUUCAGUGCUGCAGCUAACGCAUUAAGCACUCCGCCUGGGGAGUACGACCGCAAGGUUGAAACUCAAAGGAAUUGACGGGGGCCCGCACAAGCGGUGGAGCAUGUGGUUUAAUUCGAAGCAACGCGAAGAACCUUACCAGGUCUUGACAUCCUUUGACCACUCUAGAGAUAGAGCUUCCCCUUCGGGGGCAAAGUGACAGGUGGUGCAUGGUUGUCGUCAGCUCGUGUCGUGAGAUGUUGGGUUAAGUCCCGCAACGAGCGCAACCCUUAUUGUUAGUUACCAUCAUUCAGUUGGGCACUCUAGCAAGACUGCCGGUGACAAACCGGAGGAAGGUGGGGAUGACGUCAAAUCAUCAUGCCCCUUAUGACCUGGGCUACACACGUGCUACAAUGGGAAGUACAACGAGUUGCGAAGUCGCGAGGCUAAGCUAAUCUCUUAAAGCUUCUCUCAGUUCGGAUUGCAGGCUGCAACUCGCCUGCAUGAAGCCGGAAUCGCUAGUAAUCGCGGAUCAGCACGCCGCGGUGAAUACGUUCCCGGGCCUUGUACACACCGCCCGUCACACCACGAGAGUUUGUAACACCCGAAGUCGGUGAGGUAACCUUUUUGGAGCCAGCCGCCUAAGGUGGGAUAGAUGAUUGGGGUGAAGUCGUAACAAGGUAGCCGUAUCGGAAGGUGCGGCUGGAUCACCUCCUUUCUAAGGAA
RNAcentral lists this ribosomal RNA (723 nucleotides) under Enterococcus faecium. RNAcentral describes it as "bacterial SSU rRNA". It matches the Rfam family "Bacterial small subunit ribosomal RNA", at positions 819 to 1533 of the family's 1533-position model. Lineage: Bacteria; Bacillati; Bacillota; Bacilli; Lactobacillales; Enterococcaceae. The record is from RNAcentral.